This 2145-nucleotide long non-coding RNA is filed under the name Lynx pardinus (Iberian lynx). The record is from RNAcentral. Lineage: Eukaryota; Metazoa; Chordata; Mammalia; Carnivora; Felidae.
UUGAAAUGGCCAUUAACCUGGCCAAGAGCCAGCACCUAGAUAGUGAUGGGUUGGCCCAGAUCUUCAUGCAGUAUGGGGACCAUCUCUACAGCAAGGGCAACCACGAUGGGGCUGUUCAACAGUAUAUCCGGUUAGUCUUGGGUGCUUUAGGAUAUAGCUCUGAAUGCAGCCAGAUAGACUAACACCUAGGCUUGGGUUAGGAGAGUGGACUCCACCAAAAGGAGCCAUUCUUUUUCCCUGCAGAAACUGUGAUGGCCUGGGUGAGAAGUUGGUACAGUUCACCGUAAAGGGAACAUUUAGGGUCAAAUAUUACAUGACCAGGGUGCAGUGGAGCUGAUGAGUAUCUCUUGUUUUAAACCUUAUUUUGUUUUUACCUGUGUAUCUAUAUUUUUUAAGUAGGCUUCACACCCAAUGUGAGGCUUGAACUCACAACCCAGAGAUCAAGAGUUACAUGCUCUACUGACAGAGCCAGCCAGGUACCCGUUCUUGUUUAGGCUGGCCUUUGUUACUAUUCAUUUUUGGGGCACCUGGCUGGCACAGUUGGUAGAGCACACGACUCUUGAUUUCAGCAUCAUGAGUUCAAGUCCCACAUUGGGCACAAAGCUUAGUUUAAAAAAAAAAAAUUCAUUUUGAUCUGAUUUGUUUGUUUGUUUCUUUUGAGAGACACAGCACAAGUGGGGGAGGGGCAGAGAGAUGAGGACAGAGGAUCUGAAGCGGGCUCUGCACUGGCAGCAGAGAGCCCGAUGGGGGGCUCAAACUCAUGAACCAUGAGAUCAUGACCUGAGCCAAAGGCAGACACUUAACCGACUGAGCUACCCAGGCGCCCCUUGAUUUGAUUCUUUAAAGGGAAAGGGUAUUCAUCUCUUGGCUUCUACAGUUUCUUCCCUUGAAGAAACCCUAAUUCUUGAAAUUUUCUGCCCUACUAAGAGGUGGUGUGAACCUGUCUGGCCUCUCUACCUUUCUAGAAUUCCUAUCUUCAGCCAUAUUUAAGAACCAGUGCUGUGUUAGCCUUGCAUCUCAUGUGGUCUGCAGUCUAGUAGCAUUGAUAUCAUCCAGGUCUUGUUAGAAAUACAGAUUCACAGGCCUCCCCCCAGACGUGCUGAGGAUCUGCAAGUGAUGCCUAGGCACAUGAAAGAGAAGUACGCUGAUCCAGAUGCUGUUUGAUGCACGUGUCUCUCUAGAACCAUUGGAAAGUUGGAGCCAUCCUAUGUGAUCCGCAAGUUUCUGGAUGCCCAGCGCAUCCACAACCUGACCGCCUACCUACAGACCCUGCACCGGCAGUCCCUGGCCAAUGCUGACCACACUACCCUGCUGCUCAACUGCUAUACCAAGCUCAAGGACAGUUCGAAGCUAGAGGAGUUCAUCAAGGUGCAGGGUGGUGGUGGUGGUGGUGGUAGAUUCCCCGAGGGCCCCACUGAGCGGGAGGUGGCUUUACCAGGGUUUGCCCCUUUUUCAGCAGAUGCAGGGAGAAGAAAGGGCUCACCUUAUUUGGGGACCAGGACCCUCUGGUCUAUAAACUGGGAAGAGGAAUAGCCUUUCCUGCUAGUUCUCUCCCGUCUCCCUCUUGUUUUUUGAUGCUUGAACUUUUGAGGGUAUGUAAGCUCAGGGAAUUAACAGUGGUGGGCCCCUGGGUCCCCAGAGGUGUCCCUGUAAUAGUAGGGGAAGAGGAAGACUUUAGCUCUUAAAACCUUACUGAGAAGUAGGAGAACCUAGUGUUUUAAAACCAUGGACUUUCUUUAAUUUUUUUUUUUUGUCUCCAACCCUCCCGGCCUCAACUUUAUUGUUAUCUUAAGAAUCUGUCAGGGGGCACCUGGCUGGCUCAGUUGGUAGAACAUGCAAAUCUAGAUCUCCAGGUCGUGAGUUCAAGCCCCACAUUGGGCCUAGAGUUUGUGUUAAAAAAAAAAAAAAAAAAAAGAAUCUGGUCUCAGAUGCAGGUUUCCUCUCCCUUCCCCAACCACAACCUUUCUGUGAAUGAUUUUGUCUGACGUCUCCCUGGCAGACCAAGAGUGAGAGCGAAGUCCACUUUGAUGUGGAGACAGCCAUCAAGGUCCUCCGGCAGGCUGGCUACUACUCCCAUGCCCUCUACUUGGCUGAGAACCAUGCACAUCAUGAGUGGUACUUAAAGAUUCAGCUAGAGGACAUUAA